Molecule: ribosomal RNA, 159 nt
Filed under: Thelephora palmata
Lineage: Eukaryota; Fungi; Basidiomycota; Agaricomycetes; Thelephorales; Thelephoraceae
Description: 5.8S ribosomal RNA
Rfam family: 5.8S ribosomal RNA
About the family: 5.8S ribosomal RNA (5.8S rRNA) is a component of the large subunit of the eukaryotic ribosome. It is transcribed by RNA polymerase I as part of the 45S precursor that also contains 18S and 28S rRNA. Functionally, it is thought that 5.8S rRNA may be involved in ribosome translocation.
Source: RNAcentral
CAACUUUCAGCAACGGAUCUCUUGGCUCUCGCAUCGAUGAAGAACGCAGCGAAAUGCGAUAAGUAAUGUGAAUUGCAGAAUUCAGUGAAUCAUCGAAUCUUUGAACGCACCUUGCGCCCCUCGGCCGUUCCGAGGGGCAUGCCUGUUUGAGUAUCAUGA